UAGAAAACAGAGGAUUCUCAAUAUAAAUUCGAACAUAACAAUCUGCAGCAGUUCAACAGAUAAAUAGAAAUAUAAAUUCAAAACUGCCUCAAGCAUAACAUCAGCAGUUCGACACUUAAGUUCAGUAACAACAGCAGCAUGUCCAUAGUCCAUUACAUGCAUCACAAAGUCUUCAGAAUUUAUUUGUCAAAAGCACACAGGAAAGGAUAGAAUCAUGAGCGCCAAAACGAACUUCAUAGAGAAACCGACAAGCUCACAUGUCAGAACCAGAACUCAUGUCGGUGUCCUCGUCGCCGUCACUUUCUGAAGCAGAGGAAGCAAAGAGCAGAUCUUCUUGAGGAGUAACAGGGAUCAUCUUCUUCUUCUUCUUACCAUAGACACCCCUCUUCCUUUUAAGUGGAUUAAUAGAAGAAGUUCCUGGUCCAGCAUGUGAGCUUCUGUUGAAUCAACAAACAAAUAAGCUAUGGAAUAUUCUACCGAUGAGCUAUUGAAUCGGAAUCAACAAACAAAUCUGAAUCCCAGAGCCUACAAUCUGAAUCAACAAACAAGUCUGAAUAUUCUACCAAUGAGCUAUGGAAUCGGGGACUCCUGUACCUCCUGGCGAUGUGCUUUCCCCGGCUGCUGAAACCGUGUGAGAGUGAGACUGAGAUGUCAUCGUGCUCGCAGAG
Molecule: long non-coding RNA, 668 nt
Filed under: Triticum aestivum (bread wheat)
Lineage: Eukaryota; Viridiplantae; Streptophyta; Magnoliopsida; Poales; Poaceae
Description: long non-coding RNA (TAES_LNC028380)
Source: RNAcentral